UUGUAAACUGCUUUUAUACAGGGAUAAAGUGAGGGACGUGUCCCUUUUGUAGGUACUGUAUGAAUAAGACGCUAAUCCGUGCCAGCAGCCGCGGUAAUACGGAAGGUCCGGGCGUUAUCCGGAUUUAUUGGGUUUAAAGGGAGCGCAGGCUGAUGAUUAAGCGUGACGUGAAAUGUAGCCGCUCAACGGCUGAACUGCGUCGCGAACUGGUUAUCUUGAGUGAGUUCGAUGUUGGCGGAAUUCGUGGUGUAGCGGUGAAAUGCUUAGAUAUCACGAAGAACUCCGAUUGCGAAGGCAGCCAACAAGGCCUUUACUGACGCUAAAGCUCGAAGGUGCGGGUAUCGAACAGGAUUAGAUACCCUGGUAGUCCGCACGGUAAACGAUGGAUGCCCGCUGUUUGCGAUAUACUGUGAGCGGCCAAGAGAAAUCGUUAAGCAUCCCACCUGGGGAGUACGCCGGCAACGGUGAAACUCAAAGGAAUUGACGGGGGCCCGCACAAGCGGAGGAACAUGUGGUUUAAUUCGAUGAUACGCGAGGAACCUUACCCGGGCUUGAACUGCAGGAGAACGAUACAGAGAUGUUGAGGCCCUUCGGGGCUCCUGUGGAGGUGCUGCAUGGUUGUCGUCAGCUCGUGCCGUGAGGUGUCGGCUUAAGUGCCAUAACGAGCGCAACCCUUUUCAUUAGUUGCCAUCAGGUAAUGCUGGGCACUCUGGUGAUACUGCCACCGUAAGGUGUGAGGAAGGUGGGGAUGACGUCAAAUCAGCACGGCCCUUACGUCCGGGGCUACACACGUGUUACAAUGGGGGGUACAGAAGGCGGGAUCAAUGCAAAUUGGUUCAAAUCUUAAAAGCCCUCCUCAGUUCGGAUUGGGGUCUGUAACCCGACCCCAUGAAGCUGGAUUCGCUAGUAAUCGCGCAUCAGCCAUGGCGCGGUGAAUACGUUCCCGGGCCUUGUACACACCGCCCGUCAAGCCAUGAAAGCCGGGGGCGCUUGAAGUCCGUGACCGCAAGGAUCGGCCUAGAGCGAAACUGGUAAUUGGGGCUAAGUCGUAACAAGGUAAAUCACUGCCGUCGUACGAC
RNAcentral lists this ribosomal RNA (1079 nucleotides) under uncultured bacterium. Its description in RNAcentral is "bacterial SSU rRNA". It matches the Rfam family "Bacterial small subunit ribosomal RNA", at positions 423 to 1533 of the family's 1533-position model. The record is from RNAcentral.